UGUAUAUAAAUGGCCAAAGGAGGAGAGAUGCUGAGCUGUGCUUCCAGCGUUCACACCAUUUCCAUAGCAGUGCCCAGAGAAUCAAAGCCUUCCAUUAAUGUCGUCCGAAAUAAGAUCUAAACAGGACAUCUUGGGCAUAUGAAUUAAAUUAGUGCUCAGCACUACACUUUGCUUUCCUAGAGGGGACAUUCUACAAAUUGCUCUUCAAAUCCCACAUCAGAAACUAAAGAGCUCAUCAGACCUUCGUCUGAAAUGUAAUUGUGCUGAGAGCCAGGUGUGGUCAAAGGCGCAGGCUAGGAAAAGAGGCAGCUGAAAACACCCUAACUAAAAUGGGCGAGCUCCGUCAGACUUUUACACCGUCUGAAAUGAGAAGACUGAUCGUUGUAAUUGCCAAAGACAUUAUAGCUUCUGCCGGCUCCGAAGUUGCUUCCAUCAUUACUGAAUCGGUUAUGGCUGUCCCCAUUGCCACUAUAUCCACCACCUGGACUGCCACCAAAGCCACCUCACCAGUGAAAGUUCCUCCAUGA
Molecule: long non-coding RNA, 527 nt
Filed under: Suricata suricatta (meerkat)
Lineage: Eukaryota; Metazoa; Chordata; Mammalia; Carnivora; Herpestidae
Description: lncRNA (ENSSSUG00005006380.1)
Source: RNAcentral